GUAGAGAGGACGUGGCUGCCUGGGAGAGCAAGCAGGGUACUUGAGGCAGAGCAGGGCUGGGGAAGGGCAGGCAGAGCUGAGGAGAUCUGGCCUGUUGAGUCCCCAGGUUGAGGCUUUGCUAAAGGCCAGCGGAAGUAUUAGGGCUGCAAGGAGGCAGCUGCGGCUAGAAAGGCAGCAGGUCCAACUCCCUUGCCAGUGAUGAGUGGCCAUUACGGACUGCAGUUUGCCCCUGAGAGCAGGGGCUAGAGGAUGAAUGGCAGUAGCCACUGAGGCAAGAUGGGUAGAGGGGGUUGGGGUUCCCCUGGGAGGGGAGACCCAGAGUGUGGGGGCACUGCUGUGGGGCAGUACUCCAAGAUAAGAGGUACCGGGGUCCGGGAGGGAUGCGGGGCCUGAAGUGCUACAAAUGGUUGAGAUUUACAGAAAGCAGGUACCGGUAGGAAGACACCAGCCAGCAGGAGGUGCUCCGAAGCUGGAAUCGAGCUAAUUCCUGGAUAACCAGCAGGAGACGCUACACUGUAUAUACCAAACUUGGAAAGUGAGGAAAUAUACAACAGGCCACCGUAACGUUAACAUGAUCUCCAAGUUGGGAAGCCCGGAGGUGUGUACUGCAGGUGACUUACAGACAUGCUGCUUUUAUGAGGAGCUGCAUGCGGUUUUCGGCAGUGACCCCACCACUAUCCCAAAACAUCCCGGGUGAACUUGAGCAGCAAUGAGGAGGACGUUGUGGAGGAGGAGGAGACUGUGAGGCAGGCAAGCAGAGGAUCCAUUCUCCCUGACAGCCAAGAACUGUUUUUAACCGUGGAGCCCAUCCCUUCACAGGACCAGUUGGCAGCGGAGCAUGAUGUCAGGAAAGGCACCUCUGGUGAGUACAUAUUUCCAAUCAAACUGUAGGGGUUACAUGCUAUGGUUUUUUUUAUGUUUAAUCUGAACAAAAAAGAAGGUGUAGGGGGUAUUGAUAGCCACUCCAGCUACGCAGAGAGUGCUGUCUGAAAAAAGACUGUUUAUGUGCCUGGGAUGGCCCAGGAAUCCUCCAUGGAGAUUUCUAGGAAGCUUUCAUGAAGGUUUCCGGGAAUGGCUGCCUUAUUUCGUCCACCAUGGUAGGACACUUUCCCGUGCCACUCCAGUAUUAACCCUACUGGCAUCAUUUCAGCACACAGCAUUGCAGCAUAAGUACCCAGACACUUACAGCAUCUGCUCCCUUUCCGCCUCUGUUACCCUCAGGAGAGUGAUAUUCCAUAGGGUCACCUAGGGAAAACGGGGGAAGUUUUGAAUGCUAGCCCUUAAACUGCAAACGAGUAAUCCGUCCCCUUUUUGGUGAAAUCUGGGUUGUGUAUGUAAUCUGUUUCCUGAGCAUGCCAUGGUUGUGGUUGGAAGGCAUCACUGUGUAUUGCAAGCAGUAUUGGGGCAGAGGGGGACAGUGGCUGCUUCCUGUUUGUCUCCAUCCCCCCAAACCAUUGCUGCUUUUGUAAAAAACAAACUAUUUGGGGGGCUUUACAUUGGUGCCUGCCCUCAAGCACCAUCCAGCCUGCUGCUUUUCUCAAGUACCAACCUGUGAUCCCAAGGAUGUCUUCACAAAAGCAGCAGCACAAGACCUCUCACGGAUGCCUUGUGGCGUUACUCACCAUGGCUGGAGCAGCAAAUCGGUUCUUGCAAUAGCCAGUGGUUGUGAUUACACUGGGGCUUGCAGUGAAGUGUAUUGAGGGCUGUAUUUUUAAUCAAAAAUUUAUCCUUGCACCAGAAACAAUGUAUACACUGGUUUCAGAGUAGCAGCCGUGUUAGUCUGUAUUCACAAAAAGAACAGGAGUGCUUGUGGCACCUUAGAGACUAACCAAUUUAUUUGAGCAUAAGCUUUCGUGAGCUACAGCUCACUUCAUCGGAUACACUGUCAAUGCUACCCUUGAGCUCUGCAUUCCUUGGAGCUGAGACCUUGUCCGUCGGCACAUCCUCCACACCAGGACAGAGAAUUUCCCAGAUUAGAAAGCGGAAAAAGAAGACUUGGGAGGACCUGUUCAAUGAGUAAUGCGUGCCUCCGAGAGUGACAAGACGGAGCGCAGAUCAUGGAGGAUUACCUUGUCCGAGAACCAGGUCAUGGACAGAGAGGACAGGAGAUCAUGCAAGGAAUAAGAGGGUGCACACAGGCAGAGAUGCUGCAGAUUAUGAGGGAGCAAACAGACAUGUUGAGGCAUCUGGCUGAGGUUCAGGAAAGGCAGCUGGAUGUUAGAGUUCUGCUGCAGCCUACGCUGAACCUGCUACCAUCAUCGCCCAGUUCUACAUCCUCCUCCCCAAAACGUCCUGUGAGGCGAGGCGGGAAAGUCCGGCAUCCCUUGCACUCAACACAGGGGGAGAGUACAAGGACCAGAAGGCGCCCAUUCUCAGACCUUUGAUUGUUCUUGCAGUGCAUCUGUAAGCAAGCUGUCCUUCUUUCUCCCCUCACCGUAUAACAGAUAACCUGGGGCAAAAGGUUCUUACUUUUCUUUGCUGUCUCUGUGUCUUUGUGUGCAUAAUAAAACUUAACAGAUUGAGGAGAAAA
Caretta caretta (loggerhead turtle) is the source of this 2530-nucleotide long non-coding RNA. RefSeq lists it as uncharacterized. The record is from RefSeq and is a predicted model, not a curated record. Lineage: Eukaryota; Metazoa; Chordata; Testudines; Cheloniidae.